CCUCAAGUGUGUCCUAUCAGGUGUUGGGGCACCACAAGCUUCCUAACUAAUGUUUUGGUCACCUCAAAUGCCCUUUUAACUGUUGGGGCACCUCAAGUGUCCUAUCAACAGUUUAGUUGUCUACCAGCAGUUUGCUGCUACAAGUCAAUGACCGUCAACACUCAAGACGACCACAUUAAAUAAAGCCAUGUCUAUUUCUACAUAAUUUUGUUAAUACUACUAACCUGGUGUUAAUAACAACUAACUUGAAACAGGAGAGGAGAAUUAUUAUCUAAUUCAUUCUCAACUCCUCAAAUUCCAUAUAAUUGUAGAGAACUGACAUUUAAAUAAAACAUUAACAAAAUGUGUAUUAUAUUUGUAGCUUUUCCUCCACUUUGCAUUAUUGUUUUCAUCCUAGAUUUUCAUUUUUUCCUGAAGUCAUUUCAGUUUUAAAUUAUUUUGUGAAACAAGUGACCAGAACAAAGUUGAAGCAUGAGAGGUCACUUCGCUAAGACUUUGUCUUCUCAUAAGAAUGGAUGGCUGCCUGGUGAUGCAGGCUGGACUGUUGUGUGCUCAUAUCUUGCCUGAUGACAUUCAUACUACUAAACGUUUGGUCAAGGAAGUAGAUUCUCAACUCUCAAGGAACAUUCAAAACAUGUCAAACAUUUGAUAAGAAUAUCAAGUGCAGUGUACAUACCAACAUGAUGAAAAGGUAGACCAACAUGAAGAUGUAGACCAGCAUGAUGAAGAUGUAGACCAGCAUGAUGAAGAUGUAGACCAACAUGAUGAAGAUGUAGACCAGCAUGAUGAUGUAGACGUAGACCAGCAUGAUGAAGAUGUAGACCAACAUGAUGAAGAUGUAGACCAGCAUGAUGAUGUAGACGUAGACCAGCAUGAUGAAGAUGUAGACCAACAUGAUGAAGAUGUAGACCAGCAUGAAGAUGAAAUGUAAACCAAAAUAUUGAUCAAGAGAUGAAGGGAAUAAAAUGUGAACGUCUUGAGAAGUAAAGCAAUUCCUAGAGGUGAAGACACAGACACAGCUGAUACAUUAGAAAUUGUUUUCCUUUCUACCAUCAUUUAGAGACUUCCUUAUGCUCUAAGGGAACCUGCCAUUAUCUUUUGAUUGCUAAUUGUCAGUGAAGAUGUUUAUACAUUCCUACUGUGUCUGAAAGAAAUAAACAUUUCCCAAAUGCUACUUCAAAUCCAGACCUUCUCAAGAUCUUAGUGACCUAGUUGCAAUACAGGACCCAGUAGGAAACAAUGAAGAAUCCUCCCAACCUCAGGUUGAGUACACAUACUCACCUUCUAGAGUGGCGACGAAUACUUCUCCUACAUCCACUGUUAUACACCCUGAACCCAACCUCACAACAUGGUUACAUUACCGGAAGUGGCUGUGAAGUCAGAAAACCUAACAAAUACAAUGAAUAGAACAAUCAUUUCUAAUACAGGUACAAGGACUCAAGUGAUGUACCUUGUAAGGACUAAUUAGGUGGAAUCACCAUAAUUGACUUGUAUCUAGUUCUAUAUUAAGGUAUAUCUUUUGAUAAUCAGUCCAGUCAUUUGUUCAUUUUUUUUUUAAUAUUUCUUUUUUCCCCUCAAUCUUCUUGUUGUUUCAGUUCAAUGUUUUUAUCUUUUUUGUUUUUGGAGGAGGGAGGGGCUGUGGUAUAUUAUCAUUAUUAUUAUUGUAUUAAGCAAACUUGUAUAUGUAUAUUUAUUCAUGAAUACUAAUGAAGAACAUGACAUCCACUGGAAAAUGUAAACACUAUACGUCUUCACUUUAAUUUUCUCUAAGAGUCACAACACCAAAGCCUUGCUACGUUAUGCUUUUUAUAUCAAUUCAUUAUCUCCCCUGCUUUUGUGUGCUAUCAUAGUAAUGUUCAUUAGUGUCACAUCCCUGCACAAUUUGUUCUAUGCUCUUUAUAGUGUAAAUAGUGACUUGACAUUAUUUAGAUCAAUUAUAUGCAUAUAAUAUUAUUAUAUUUAACAUAAAACUGUUAACAUUUUCUAUGCUGUUAUUGAUAUGAAUGUUUUGCUGUGUUGCUAUGAAUGCAGUUUUGAGUUUUAGUCCAAAAUCAUAGAUGAGAAAUUGUUCCAUAAAUGAGUCUAUUAAUAUGUACUGUUUGGUAUUGUCAGACUUCACUAAAGCAUUGAGUUCAUCCCCUUAGUCUAUUUAAAACUUUCAAAUACUAAUUCCCUUUGUCUUAUCUAAUGGUGAUGUGAUCAUGGGGUAUCCACUUUGUCAUCUCCAAAGUCUCUGGUAUGAACACUCACUGUCCUGUUGGAGGUUAGGGCUAGGAUGUAAUCUCUAUUUCUGAUGGAACAUAUGUAAAACCAAGAAAACAAACAGUAGACCUAGACUUUAUUAACAGGGCAUGCAAACAUUUGUUAUAAUUGUCAACCGGUGCUCCCAGAGCUAUUUUUAUGUAUUUUUAUUUUUACUACUUUGUGUAGGCUAGUGCUAAGCUGUAUACUUAUAUUUCCGCCUAUUAUUAUAUGGGUUAGGGCGAUGCUGUUUCCUGUACUGUUGACCAGAGUGUGUCAGUUUUAAUUAUUCUGUACUUGGGACUGCCUGUAAAUUUCAGAAUUUUUUUAUUUUUUUUUUACUACAUGUAAAUCUACUUUAUAUUUUAGUUAUACAUGGUACAUUAUUUUACUAAUUGGAACAACUGUCAAAAUAAUAUGGCAGUUUGUUUUUUAAAGUUUGUUUUAAAAUGAUGACCACUUCUAAUGUUUAUGUACAAGAUCUUGUCUUUAUGUUUUUGUAUUUCUAGCUGCAGUGUUUUGUAACUGCUGCUUUAGUCAUUGAAAUUAAAGUGUCAUUUUUUUUUAAA
Biomphalaria glabrata is the source of this 2810-nucleotide long non-coding RNA. RefSeq lists it as uncharacterized. The record is from RefSeq and is a predicted model, not a curated record. The transcript has 3 exons. Lineage: Eukaryota; Metazoa; Mollusca; Gastropoda; Planorbidae.